AGAACUGGUGUGUAGCCUAUAAUGGACUGUUCCUCUGCAGUCCUCACACACAUUGUGUUCACAUUUGAAUGGGUUUAUAAUAAUUCAUGACGGCAAGAACAUUAAACCUCUUGCUUACAGGAGCUUGGUUUACCCGACCAAUGAAAUCUGAACUGUGUAAGGCGUCGACAUACUGAUGCUAUAGGAAAAGCAACACAGCACGGCUGUAUCGUGUUACUAUAUGUGUAGCACAGAUGAAUAAUUGGGGUUUGAUUUACAGACAAUGCAUUAAUAAAUAGCGUGUUUAUUUUGUUAUCAUAUGCAUGUUAUUUAAAAAGCAAUGCAUAUUGCAUAACCUAAGAAGUCACAACAAGGUAAACCCACAGAAAUGAGUGUACUAGUGUGUUUGCGUAGGUGGCGAUGACGCAAGCACGGCCAGCCAAUAGCAUCGCAGGAUUUUUAUUUUAUUUUUUUUCAAGCAAAAGGGCAGGUUACACCUCAAUCGAUAAAUGCCCAGUCACUCCGCUCACUUAAUACAGGCUAUUUAUUUAUACCUUCUUAUCUACUUCAUACGUCUGAAAUUAAUUAAAAAGAUCCACAUUUAUCCGAGUUGUUAGUAGGUCGUAUUAUAAGAUGCAACGCUAGAAUCUGAUUUAACUAAAAGUUGUAAACAUCGCGCAGUUAUGAUGCGUCUCGAUAAAUCAAAACAAUAAAGGAGCCAGCAUAAUAAUAUUAUGUUUAGAUCUCCUACGUGUGGGAGAAAGAUACCUAGGAACGCCAGCCAUGAAGGUACUAAACGCUUAUUGGUCGAGGGGCGGGACUCUUUGGUUGUUGACGUAGCGCGCGGCCAAUCAGCACGGAGAACUCGGAGGCGACUGCGUGACGAAAGCGCGUUUGUCCAAUCGUAAGCGCCGCUGAGGUUUUGACCUCUGAAAACCGCAUCACCGCCCCGAUCGCGUCCGUGGCGGAGGAGCGCUAUAAAGGAGAUCCAGUCAGGAGUUUAAAGGGCAGAGUUGUGAGACUCCCAGGCAGUGGGGAGCCGGAUUGCCUGACGACAGACUCCAAAAAACAACACGGUUCCCCAAGGAACAAACAGCUAAUGUUGACGCAACCUAACUGGAAUAAUCGUGUCGAUUACUGUUUGCUUGGAACCGAAGAGGAGAGGGAAGCACGGGCGUUUAAUGAGCGCCAGAGGAUUCGUUUCUCCUCAUCCGCCAGCACUUCUGGGUCCCCACUGAACAACGCACAGACAAACAGCUAUGCAGCUCGAAAUCCAAGUAGCGCUGAACUUCAUCAUUUCAUACCUGUACAACAAACUCCCGCGGCGGCGAGUCAACAUCUUCGGCGAGGAGCUGGAGAGGCAGCUGAAGAAGAAAUACGAAGGACACUGGUACCCCGACAAGCCAUACAAAGGAUCCGGGUUCAGGUGCAUCCACGUGGGCGAGAAGGUGGAUCCGGUGGUGGAGGGAGCCGCCAAAGAGAGCGGGCUGGACAUCGAGGACGUCCGCAACAACUUGCCUCAGGACCUCAGCGUUUGGAUCGACCCUUUCGAGGUGUCCUACCAGAUCGGGGAGAAGGGAGCGGUUAAGGUGCUAUACGUGGACAACAGCGGAGAGAACGGCUCCGAGCUGGACAAGGAGAUCAGAAACAGUUUUAACCCGGAGGCUCAGGUCUUCAUGCCAAUCAGUGACCCGGUGGGCGUCUCGUCCGAGUCCAGCUCGCCGUCGCCGCCUCCGUUUGGCCAGUCGUCAGCCGUCAGCCCAUCCUUCAUGCCGCGCUCCGCCCAGCCUUUAACCUUCACCACCGCCUCGUUCGCCGCAACCAAAUUCGGCUCCACCAAGAUGAAGAACAGCGGACGCAAUGGCGGCAAAGUUGCACGCAGCUCUCCCACCAACCUGGGUCUGAAUGUCAACAGCCUCCUCAAGCAGAAAGCCAUCUCCGGCUCCGUGCAUUCGCUCUACGGUUUCGGCCCGGGAAGUGCGUCUGCGCUCUCUCCCAACGCCAAGGAGUUCGUGUUCCCCA
This is a long non-coding RNA of Cyprinus carpio (common carp), 2001 nucleotides long. NCBI's taxonomy places the organism in Eukaryota, Metazoa, Chordata, Actinopteri, Cypriniformes, Cyprinidae. The record is from Ensembl.